CGUCGCUGCGUGGCCGCGGUUGCGCCGGGAGCGGAGGAGUGAGGUCCUGACAGAACCAGAGCUGUUAGAGCAGGGACGCGCGAAAGGCGGGAGUACGGGCGGCGCUGGAGAACCUCCGCGGCGGAGGGGCCUGGGGGUGGGACCGCGCCCGCGAGCCCGCCCUGACCGGGGUGUCUGUGUGCUUGUGAAGCGCUCCCUUGUUAGUUCCUUCUGUGAGACUCGGGGGAGACUGAAGAGGGAAAUCACCUGCGGGGAAUGAACAGGAAAGCAAUAAGAAGAUUUGGAAAAGAGGCACUGGCUACUGGAGGAAGGGAGAAAUCACCGAGAGAGCGAAAGAUGUAACAGAUGCAGUGACUCAUGCCUAUAAUCCCAGUACUUUGGAAGGUCAAGGCACAAGGAUCCAUUGAGGCCAGGAGUCCAAGACCAGCCUGCACAAUGUAGCAAGACUCCUUCUCUACAAAAAAAUAAAUAAAAAUUAGCCAGGCAUGGUGGUGCACUCCUGUAGUCCCAGCUACUCAAGAGGCUGAUGUAGAGAAUCGCAUUAUCCCAGAGGUCAAGGCUGCAGUGAGCCGUGAUCAUGCCUCUGCACUCCAGCCUGGACGAUAGAGCAAGACUUUAUCUCAAAAAACAAAAAUUUAAAAAGAUAUCAGGUAGCUCAUAGAAUUGUUGAGAGGGCUGUAAAACCAGGCUUGAACUUAAACAGCAACGAUAAACCACCCACAGAACGGACAUGAUGAAGAAGUUGGCAAAUGUUACCAACUGUCCUGGUUUUUUUGGUGACUGUAGUUUCCAAGGAUUCAGAUCCUUCCAUGCCAAAAUCUGAAAAAUGCUGGGCAAAGUAUGACUGACAAUGUGGUAAUCUUACAGCUAGCACUAGAGACAUCAAGCACUAGACAACACAAUUUGCCCUUUGGCCACUUAUACAAUGGGAACUCACGCUUGCAGUAACCUCUAUUGCCACUAGGAGAGAGAAACACAGAAGGAGGAAGGGAGAAGGGAGAGAGAGGAAAAAAACUGUUGCUUGUCUCCUUAGCUGUGAGUCAAAGGUCUAACACAGAUGUCUGGCUGAAAAGCCUAGGUCACAUGCCUGCACCCCAGAGAAAGUAUGUGACAUCUUCUGCUUCCAUUAUGGGAAACAGCCUUUGCUUGUCACGAAGAUUUACAUGGUGAGACAUAUCCUAAAUAUAGGGAAGCUGUUGAAGUGGCCCAAAUAAUGACCAAUUUCUACUAAUUUGUACUAAUAUCCAAAUUACUUUUAAUUAUCUAAUAUUACUUAGAUACAGUGAGGCAACCAUUCGUUGGAUAUAUAAUGGUUUCUUUGAUUUCAAAAAUCUUUUUUUAUGUAAUAUAUGUCUGAAGACCAUCAAAAUAAAUUCUUAAAGUCAGAUUAAUAGGAUGUUACUUAUAAUAUUAUUGUAAUUAUUUGACCACAUAAUAGUUUAUGCCCAUUAUAUACUAUGUAAUUGUAUGAUGGAAAUAAUGCUGUACUUUGUUUGUAAAAGUUUAAUUAUCCUGACCUUUGUUCAUCAUAAAGAAUUGCUCCAUUUCUAUUAUUUAUCGAGGAAAAAAGUUUCUCUCUUUUUGUUUUUAAUAUGUCAUUAGGAGAAGAGUAGUUACACGUAGGCUAGAGUGUUUGCCAAGAAGAAAUUGAUUUUAAUGGGAACCUUUUAUCUAAGACAAACUUUAAGAAGAGCAGUAAUGGACAAUGUGUUCUGUGCAACUCUUCAGCCUUCAGUCUCACAUUCAUUGUGGUCAAGUAUUUUCAGCAAAGAAUAACAAGUCAGAGUUUGUGUAUAUUUUUCAUAGCUGUUCAUUCUCUUACAGAGUAACCUUGAACAAACCUCUUAAGAUUUGUGUUUUAUCUUCAUAUACUGAAAUACAAAAUGGGAAUGCCUAUAUUUAAUCAAAGAUAUAAUUUUUACUGAUAGAUAGUAAAGAACAAAACACUGGAACAAGAAUUCCUGUCCUGCCUUUCACAAUGUGGUUUUGAGGCCUUGGCCAUGUCACUUAAAUUCUCAUAUCUGUUUUCUCAAUCUAUAAAUGAUCAUAAUACCUGCACUAUCUGUCUCAAAUUGCAUAUGUGAAAGCAUCUUAAAGGUACAAAACAAUAAAUACAAAGCAUUAUUAUUAAAUUAUUACACCUUCCAGCAUUUAAUGCUAAAAAUGCCAAAUGCGUCCUUUGGUUAUAUGUAGGAAAUAUGUCUCAGAAAAAUCAAUUUAAAAUUAUAGAAGCUAACAGGUAAGUCAUUUUAAGUGUGUGGUUAUCUUCUGCAUGGCAGAUUUUUAAAUGGUAAUUAUUAAUGAAGUUUUCCUAUACUUACUGUUUCCAAGACUCCAUUCUUUCCAAAGUUUUCUGAGUUAUGCUUAUCAUCCCUUAAGUCUUAGGGAUGCUCUUCUGAGCUUUUGGGGUUUGUUUAAUUGAUAUGUCAUAGUUGUACAUAUUUUAGGAGUUCUUGUGAUAUUUUGAUACAUGUAUAUAAUGAGUAAUGAUAAAAUCAGAGUAAUUGGGAUAUCCAUCACUUCCAACAUUUGUCUUUGUGUUGGGAACAUUAAAAUUCUUCUCUUCUAGUUAUUUUGACAUAUGCAGUGAAUUAUUAUUAACUAUAAUUUCCCUACAGUACUAUCAGAUACUAAGACUUAUUUCUUCCAUCUAGCUAUAUUUUUGUACCCAUUAACCAACCUCCCUUCCUUCCCUCCCCAGUCUCUGGUAAUCACUAUUCUACUCUCUACUGAGAUUUUUUUAAACCUAAGAUAUCAAAAAUAAGCUUCCAUACAGGAGACAACAAUUAACACAGCAAAUAGAAAGUAGAAUUGUUCUAUGUAAAAUAAUUACACCCUCUUAGAGGCAUAGAAUAUGACUCUAUUUAUAAGAGGGAACAAAUGAAGAGGAGAAGAAUGUGUUGAAAGAGAUUUCCUUGACAAAUACAUCGUAUCUACUUUGUGAAAUUACCAAGUGCCUAAGGACUAGUAAAGUACUCAAAUAGCCCCUAUAAAGAGGCUUCUU
RNAcentral lists this long non-coding RNA (3004 nucleotides) under Homo sapiens (human). RNAcentral describes it as "non-protein coding lnc-RC3H1-1:8". Lineage: Eukaryota; Metazoa; Chordata; Mammalia; Primates; Hominidae. The record is from RNAcentral.